Molecule: ribosomal RNA, 493 nt
Filed under: uncultured Aminicenantes bacterium
Lineage: Bacteria; Candidatus Aminicenantota
Description: bacterial SSU rRNA
Rfam family: Bacterial small subunit ribosomal RNA
Source: RNAcentral
CUUAAAAUGAAUUGACGGGGCCCGCACAAGCGGUGGAGCAUGUGGUUAAUUCGACGCUACGCGAAGAACCUUACCUGGGCUUGAACUGCUGGUGGUAGAAGCCCGAAAGGUAACGACCCGGAGCAAUCCGGGAGCCAGUAGAGGUGCUGCAUGGCUGUCGUCAGCUCGUGUCGUGAGAUGUUGGGUUAAGUCCCGCAACGAGCGCAACCCUUACCCUUAGUUGCCAGCGGGUAAUGCCGGGCACUCUAAGGGGACCGCCCCGGAUAACGGGGAGGAAGGCGGGGAUGACGUCAAGUCAGCAUGGCCUUUAUGUCCAGGGGCUACACACGUGCUACAAUGGGCGAUACAGAGGGAAGCAAGGCCGCAAGGUAGAGCUAAUCCCUAAAAGUCGUCCUCAGUUCGGAUUGCAGGCUGCAACUCGCCUGCAUGAAGUCGGAAUCGCUAGUAAUCGCGGAUCAGCUACGCCGCCGGUUGAACCUACGUUCUCGGCCUU